CGUGAAAAUAGAUAAAAGAUAAACCAUGUAGUCAUAAAUUAAACACCUAGCCCCUGCAAGAACUUCUGAGAACUUAACACCAUAAAAUAGACACCUAGAAAGCUAUAAACCAUAAAAUAGACACCCAGAGAACUGAACACCAUAACAUAGACACCUAGAGAACUAAACACCAUAAAAAAGCCACCCAGAGAACUAAACACCAUAAAAUUGACACCCAGAGAACCAAACACCAUAAAAUAGACAUACAGAAAACUAAACACCAUAAAAUAGACACAUAGAAAACUAAACACCAUAAAAUAGAAAUAUGAAGACUUAAAAUAGAUAACUACAGGACUGAACAUCAUAAGCCAUAAUUUCAACACCUGGACCCUGCUAGAAUUUCUGAGAAGAAAAUACCAUAAAAUUAACAUCUAGAGAACUAAACACCAUAACAUAGACAACUGGAAUUCUAAACACCAUGACAUAGAAACCUGGAGAACUAAACACCAUAAAAUAGACACCAAGAGAACUAAACACAAUAAAACAGAGAACUAGGGAAAUAAACACCAUAAAAUAAGACACUUAAAGGACUUAACCAUAAAGUAAACACCAUAAAUUAAACACCUAGAAAACUAAACACCAUAUGGCCAUAAGGGUCAACAAACAUUAUGAAUAUUAUGUAGUAUAAUGUUAUGAAAUCAACAUUUCUUAAAUGAAUCCAACAGAGAAAACCAGGUUACAAGUCUCUCUGAGUACAUAUUUUGUAUCUACCGGUACAUACAAUUAUCACAACACAACAUAUAGGCUGUAACAAACCACAAUAAUAACAUUAUAAAAGUGACAACAGCCAAAAUAUCAAUUACCAAUAUAAACACAAAGAAAAGGAAUAAAUAAUACUACCGAAUAAUAAAGCAAAGGAAUAAAUAAUACUACCGACUAAUAAAGCAAAGAAAUAAACUA
Molecule: long non-coding RNA, 939 nt
Filed under: Mytilus galloprovincialis (Mediterranean mussel)
Lineage: Eukaryota; Metazoa; Mollusca; Bivalvia; Mytilida; Mytilidae
Source: RNAcentral